CUUGAGUCACGCAGCAUGAUGCCUCAAGGAAAAAGGAAAAGUGCUGCGGUCUCCUCGGCUGCAGUUAUUGUGAUAUGUUUUGUGGCGCAAAUGGUGGACUGUUACCGGCUGAAGAAAAGGGAAAUAGGAGAUGGUCAAAGAGAUGCCAGUACAGCUGAAAAGCAAAGUGUCCAAGAGGGGAAGAUAGUCUUCGGGAGAGUUUUUAAAAAAGGGUCAGGCCUUGAGUCAGAAGUUUUUGACUGGACUGGGAAAUCCUCUUCAAACGCUUCUGUGGCGGAGGGCACGGCUUAUCAAGCAGACUCUGCAGGCUGGUCAAAAGGGCAAACAUAUGAUAGCAGUUCCACACAAUGGAAGCGCAUGGCACCUUCCCUGCAGUGUGUUGGAGACCGGAUGAGGUUUAAAGUAUUGGGACCAGGUGCUUCAGUAUUUGCACUGGACCAAGGUAGCGUGACACAGCUUAUUAGCUGUACCGUUGCUGUGUAUUUUAUACAUUGUAGAUAUUUGGACCAGUGUUUGCAGUCACUUUCAGACUCCCCUCUCCCACACACAGGAAGUGCACCUCCAAUGCCUCUGUCCCAGGUCCCUUCCACCUGUGGCUACCACGUGCAGAGGAACUCCCUUGGACUUACUAUGUUGGUUCCUUAUCAUGGCUGUAAUGUGGUUCAAGAGGUAACUUUUCUUUUUCCAUGAAAUAAAAACAGAAGAUGCUUGAACUGGAGAAAAAAAUGGUUGUUUUGAUGAGAAUUU
RNAcentral lists this long non-coding RNA (747 nucleotides) under Mastacembelus armatus (zig-zag eel). RNAcentral's name for it is "lncRNA (ENSMAMG00000028222.1)". Lineage: Eukaryota; Metazoa; Chordata; Actinopteri; Synbranchiformes; Mastacembelidae. The record is from RNAcentral.